UACGUAGGGGGCAAGCGUUAUCCGGAUUUACUGGGUGUAAAGGGAGCGUAGACGGUUAUGCAAGUCAGAAGUGAAAGCCCAAAGCUCAACUUCGGGACUGCUUUUGAAAUUGUGUAACUAGAGUGCAGGAGGGGUAAGCGGAAUUCCUAGUGUAGCGGUGAAAUGCGUAGAUAUUAGGAGGAACACCGGCGGCGAAGGCGGCUUACUGGACUGUAACUGACGUUGAGGCUCGAAAGCGUGGGGAGCAAACAGG
This 253-nucleotide ribosomal RNA is filed under the name uncultured bacterium. Its description in RNAcentral is "partial 16S ribosomal RNA". It matches the Rfam family "Bacterial small subunit ribosomal RNA", at positions 524 to 776 of the family's 1533-position model. The record is from RNAcentral.